This 438-nucleotide ribosomal RNA is filed under the name Bacillus subtilis. RNAcentral's name for it is "bacterial SSU rRNA". It matches the Rfam family "Bacterial small subunit ribosomal RNA", at positions 28 to 456 of the family's 1533-position model. The record is from RNAcentral. Lineage: Bacteria; Bacillati; Bacillota; Bacilli; Caryophanales; Bacillaceae.
GACGAACGCUGGCGGCGUGCCUAAUACAUGCAAGUCGAGCGGACAGAUGGGAGCUUGCUCCCUGAUGUUAGCGGCGGACGGGUGAGUAACACGUGGGUAACCUGCCUGUAAGACUGGGAUAACUCCGGGAAACCGGGGCUAAUACCGGAUGGUUGUUUGAACCGCAUGGUUCAAACAUAAAAGGUGGCUUCGGCUACCACUUACAGAUGGACCCGCGGCGCAUUAGCUAGUUGGUGAGGUAAUGGCUCACCAAGGCAACGAUGCGUAGCCGACCUGAGAGGGUGAUCGGCCACACUGGGACUGAGACACGGCCCAGACUCCUACGGGAGGCAGCAGUAGGGAAUCUUCCGCAAUGGACGAAAGUCUGACGGAGCAACGCCGCGUGAGUGAUGAAGGUUUUCGGAUCGUAAAGCUCUGUUGUUAGGGAAGAACAAGUAC